RNAcentral lists this ribosomal RNA (250 nucleotides) under uncultured bacterium. Its description in RNAcentral is "partial 16S ribosomal RNA". It matches the Rfam family "Bacterial small subunit ribosomal RNA", at positions 524 to 773 of the family's 1533-position model. The record is from RNAcentral.
UACAGAGACCUCAAGCGUUAUCCGGAUUUAUUGGGCGUAAAGGGUCCGCAGGUUGCAACGUAAGUCAUGUGUUAAAUUAUCGGGCUCAACCCGGAAACUGCACGUGAUACUGCGUAGCUAGAGGCUGGGAGAGGUGCAUGGAAUUGCUAGUGUAGCGGUAAAAUGCGUUAAUAUUAGCAAGAACACCAAAGGCGAAGGCAAUGCACUGGAACAGUCCUGACACUCAGGGACGAAAGCGUGGGGAGCGAAA